GAUGAACGCUGGCGGCGUGCCUAAUACAUGCAAGUCGAGCGAACAGACGAGGAGCUUGCUCCUCUGACGUUAGCGGCGGACGGGUGAGUAACACGUGGAUAACCUACCUAUAAGACUGGGAUAACUUCGGGAAACCGGAGCUAAUACCGGAUAAUAUAUUGAACCGCAUGGUUCAAUAGUGAAAGACGGCUUUGCUGUCACUUAUAGAUGGAUCCGCGCCGCAUUAGCUAGUUGGUAGGGUAACGGCUUACCAAGGCAACGAUGCGUAGCCGACCUGAGAGGGUGAUAGGCCACACUGGAGCUGAGACACGGUCCAGGCUCCUGCGGGAGGCAGCAGUAGGGAAUCUUCCGCAGUGGGCGAGAGCCUGACGGAGCGACGCCGCGUGAGUGAUGAAGGUCUUCGGAUCGUAAAACUCUGUUAUUAGGGAAGAACAAAUGUGUAAGUAACUAUGCACGUCUUGACGGUACCUAAUCAGAAAGCCACGGCUAACUACGUG
RNAcentral lists this ribosomal RNA (497 nucleotides) under uncultured bacterium. RNAcentral describes it as "partial 16S ribosomal RNA". It matches the Rfam family "Bacterial small subunit ribosomal RNA", at positions 28 to 507 of the family's 1533-position model. The record is from RNAcentral.